RNAcentral lists this long non-coding RNA (246 nucleotides) under Carica papaya (papaya). RNAcentral describes it as "long non-coding RNA (CPAP_LNC005257)". The record is from RNAcentral. Lineage: Eukaryota; Viridiplantae; Streptophyta; Magnoliopsida; Brassicales; Caricaceae.
CUUAGGCUUCCAUCUACUACUGCGUUGGGCGUGAAUUGAGCCAACUCUAUGAAAUUUUAUGCGUAUUUUGCCACUCUCAUAUUCCCCAACUUUAACUCUAGGAAUUCCAUUUGCUUCUCUUCUCGAAAAAAGUUAAAAAAAUACUUCUCAUAGAAUAUCGCUCCAAAUACUUCCCAAAAGAUCAGUGUCAUCAGGGAUCCCUUCUUCAAGCGCCACCAGUGUUCUUCAACUCCCUUAAACAUGAAU